This 715-nucleotide ribosomal RNA is filed under the name uncultured prokaryote. RNAcentral's name for it is "partial 16S ribosomal RNA". It matches the Rfam family "Bacterial small subunit ribosomal RNA", at positions 28 to 760 of the family's 1533-position model. The record is from RNAcentral.
GAUGAACGCUGACAGAAUGCUUAACACAUGCAAGUCGAUUCGAUUUACCUUCGGGUAUUGAGGAUGGCGGACGGGUGAGUAACGCGUAAGGAACUUGCCUCUUGGUCUGGGACAACUGUUGGAAACGACAGCUAAUACCGGAUAUUAUGAGAUUCUCGCAUGGGAAACUUAUGAAAGCUAUAUGCGCCAAGAGAGAGCCUUGCGUUCCAUUAGCUAGUUGGUGGGGUAACGGCCCACCAAGGCGACGAUGGAUAGCCGGCCUGAGAGGGUGAACGGCCACAAGGGGACUGAGACACGGCCCUUACUCCUACGGGAGGCAGCAGUGGGGAAUAUUGGANNNNGNGNNNNAAGCCUGAUCCAGCAAUUCUGUGUGCACGAUGAAGGUCUUCGGAUUGUAAAGUGCUUUCAGUUGGGAAGAAGAAAGUGACGGUACCAACAGAAGAAGCGACGGCUAAAUACGUGCCAGCAGCCGCGGUAAUACGUAUGUCGCAAGCGUUAUCCGGAUUUAUUGGGCGUAAAGCGCGUCUAGGCGGAAAAAAUAAGUCUGAUGUUAAAAUGCGGGGCUCAACUCCGUAUUGNGUUGGAAACUGUUUUUCUAGAGUACUGNNGAGGUGGGCGGAACUACAAGUGUAGAGNUGAAAUUCGUAGANNUUUGUAGNANNGCCGAUGGAGAAGUCAGCUCACUGGACAGAUACUGACGCUAAAGCGCGAAAGC